RNAcentral lists this non-coding RNA (30 nucleotides) under Trypanosoma brucei brucei. The record is from RNAcentral. Lineage: Eukaryota; Euglenozoa; Kinetoplastea; Trypanosomatida; Trypanosomatidae.
UUAGUAAGUGAUUUAACUGUGAUUUGUAAU